AUGGCCAUAUUCGACGAGUUCAACGUUGGGUCCAUCGACCUCGGACGCCUCAACUAUAGGAUCAUCUCGCUCAUCCCCAAGGUCCCUGGGGCUUCCGACAUUCGCCAGUUCCGCCCGAUCACGGUCAUCAACGUGAUUUUUCAGAUUUUGGCGAAAGGGUUCACCAAUAGGGUGACCCUGCUCAGUGACCGCAUUACCCACCCACAGUCCACAUUUAUCCAAGGCCGGUAUAUCCUGGAUGGGGUGCUAGUUCUUCACGAAGUCCUUCAUGAGGUUCACUCUAUGCACCUCAAGGCGGUGUUCCUGAAGAUCGAUUUUCAUAAAGCCUACGACAUUGUUAGUUGGCCCUUCCUUCGGGAAGUCCUGCUCCGAAAAGGUAUUGACGACCGUUGGAUCUCCAGAGUGAUGCAGAUGGUUUCCUGCGGUCGCACUGCUGUGAACAUCAAUGGUGAGAUCGGUCCUUACUUCCCCACCUCCUGUGGGGUUAGGCAAGGCGACUCCUUCUCCCUAUUCUUGUUCAAUAUGGUGGUGGAUGCGCUUGUCGCCAUUCUGGACAAGGCAAGGCCGUGGGGCAUAUUCGUGGGAUCACCCCCCAUGUGCCCGGCGGAUCCGGGAUCUCCCUCCUCCAGUAUGCCGACGACACCAUCAUCAUGGUCGAAGGCUCUGAUGCGGACAUCUCUAACCUUAAGUUCCUCCUCCUCUGCUUACAACAAAUGUCUGGCCUCAAGAUCAACUUCGACAAGAGUGAUGUGA
Molecule: ribosomal RNA, 753 nt
Filed under: Triticum aestivum (bread wheat)
Lineage: Eukaryota; Viridiplantae; Streptophyta; Magnoliopsida; Poales; Poaceae
Description: partial small subunit ribosomal RNA
Source: RNAcentral